AUUCAUUCUGUUCUAUUUUUCAGUGUGAGUCAGUGAGUGACCGGUGACUGGCUGCUGCAGCCAAUGAUGCGAUUCACAUACGUAUUUACCAUAGACUGUAUACAAUGGUAUUUACGCAGCUAAUCAACGUCAGGCGUCCUUAUGUGCAGCCAUCGUUGUUGUCAUAGAUAUGAAUGAGUAGAUAGGACACGCCCCUUUGAGCUGCGUGCUACAGCGAGGCUAAGCUAGUGGGGGCAAAGUUUCAGUGCAUUCCGUUGAUGUAGACGGCGUGAAAACGGAAACAAGAAGUAUGCCGGCUCACUGUGCUGCAUACAAUUACACACUACGUCGUACGAUUGAGACAAGGAAACUUGGAAUGACUUUUCAUAGGUUUCCCAGAGACUAUGGGUUGAGGAGGAAUUGGAAGUUUGUCGGCUUAGACCUGGUGUCAUUCCAUCAGUGUUAAACUUCCCGGCUCAUCUUGGAAGAGUACGUGCCAGAAAGACCACGACCAAGCAGCCUUGAGAUCUUAGGCAGCGUCUCCCUGAGACCAAAGAACUACAGACUCUUCACAACCUGCUCAAACUCUUGGUACAGGACCUCACCACACGGGUCAAGAAGGUUUCUGUCUCAUUUCUACUCUGAAGCUCACCUUCUCCUGCUCAAACUGCUGACAAAUGUUUCUGCUGCUCUAAAGUCUGGUCUCCAGAACUUCCUAAAAACUCUCAAAGUCUAUUCUGCUGCAGGUUGCUUUGUAGAACUGUUCCAGAAAACCUCACUAAACCACAUGGAGGGGCCUCAAGAUAGUUGUCCAAAUGAAACCAUACAAAAACCAAACUAGCACAUCCCAAACGCUAAAGUCUCCUGCAGCCUACCAGAGAACCUCUGAGAACAGAGAAUCAGGACAGGAACUCUUACCUUCUGGACAACCAACGCUGGUUCACAAGAAUACAGAAUGUAUCUGACCAAAAACCUCUGAAGACUCACUACAGCCAAGAUAAAGACACAACUCACCUGCACCAAAUCCACUAAUCACUGCACACAUUAGCACCAUGUGCUAACUGUGGCUGAAGAACCACAUUUACCAAGACAACUAUCAGUACAAAGCCCUAAAACACACCAAGAAACACAUUAAAGACGAUUUUACUGCUGGAAGCUGCAAGCCAACACCUAAAGAACAAACUCAAGCAACGGAGCCAAACCCAGUUCACUGGUGAAGAGAAGCAGAGGAAAUAUUUGUCUGCAGCUAAAUAAAGCAGGAAGACACUGAGCUGCUCAGGUGUUCCUGAUAACACCAAGCAGCCACCUGGACAGCCAAUAGGAACACAGCUUCCUGGAAGUGCAGAGGGCGGGGUUAGUGAAGGAAAUUUAGUUUAAAGUUGAAGCAGAAAGUUAAUAAAGAAAGUUGAAAACCACCUUCUGAUACCUGAAAUCUCUGAGUUUUCACACAAAGAACACCUGAACAUGUCAAACUGGUUCCAUAGUAGAACCAUCAUUGUAAAAAUGUCAUAGUAUGGUGUGUUGCUCAAAAAACAUUAGGACCCGGCUGUCAGGGGACAAACAUGUAAGAAACAUGAGAACAGAGAGAACCCAACCAGUAGGUCACAGUUUAUCAUCAUCUAAUCAUCUCCUGAAGUCCAUAUGGUGAGAGACAUCAGUAUCUGGUUGUUCAUUUACCAGAGGAUGCUUAUAAUCAUGCUGAUGUGGUCUGUACUCUACAGUAUUUUAGUGACUCAAUAAAUGCCUAAGUUGUUUUUUUUAAAUGCUUUUUAGUUUUUAAUAAACAUUUAACAGCCUAUAUGUAAUCAAUAAAUGGCCUUUGCCUAUCUUAAGAAAAAUUCACUCAGAACUCUGAUAUGUUAACAGUAGUAAAUAAAUCAAUAAAUACAUGCAUACACACAUAAAUAAGUUAAUACAUUAACUGUGUUAAGAUUUAGAUUUUAAAAAAAGUUGUUUAUGUUUUUGCAGAAUCCAGUAUUGCUCACUGGUUGGUCAUUACAUUUUAUUAGUUUGAUUUCACUGUUUAAAAUGAUGCCACCUCUUUUCAGACAGAACCUGUGAUAAUAAAACAAUACAACAUUUUUAGUUCCGUGUUAAUAAAGCACUUAAAGCUUUAAGUAUGGCUAAAUGCUUUUUUCAAAAUUAAAUAUGUCACUCCUUAGGUGGUAGUGGCCCCAAGUUCAGUAAAGUUGGAAAGAUAUUCACAGAUUGGGACUUCCAGCAUCAAUAACUCAUUAGAUAUAGGUUGUCAAAACAUAAACGGUGCCUCUUUCCCAUUGUUGCAAGGCAGACAAUGUGCUACAAGCCCAGUUUUAUCAAAAGUAGCUGUCUUUCAAGCUACAGGAAUAACACUGGUGUCUAUGGAGUGAACAGGGUCCGUCUGCAAUUU
Amphiprion ocellaris (clown anemonefish) is the source of this 2368-nucleotide long non-coding RNA. RefSeq lists it as uncharacterized. The transcript is spliced from 3 exons. The record is from RefSeq and is a predicted model, not a curated record. Lineage: Eukaryota; Metazoa; Chordata; Actinopteri; Pomacentridae.